Molecule: RNA transcript, 1642 nt
Organism: Labrus mixtus (cuckoo wrasse)
Lineage: Eukaryota; Metazoa; Chordata; Actinopteri; Labriformes; Labridae
Gene: ttc4
Gene name: tetratricopeptide repeat domain 4
Exons: 11
Source: RefSeq, a predicted model, not a curated record
CGGAUCUUUUAUGACGUAGGACCGCUCAUGCACAUGUGUAAACGUAAACAAGGAGCUGGGCAAUUUCUAGGAAGUGUAAAUCUAUAACAUCUUCAGUGUUACUGUCCAGUCAUAGGUUAAUAAUAUUUUGUAUUUAUUAAAAAAGGAGCUUGUGUGUAAAUAUUAUAAAAAUGGCGUCAUCGGAGAUUCAACAUGACAGCGACGACGGCAUGGAGGAGCUGAUGGACAAAUUUAAGAGUCAGAGGUAUAAAAAUGCUUUCAGCGAGAAGAACUGGGAAGACGAGUUUAAUAAAGUCCCCAUGUUCAUGAAAACUGCCCCUGAAGAGAUUGACCCUCAACAAUACCCUGAACUAGCCUGUCUUCAGGCCAUCAUCCACGAUGAAGACAGACCCCCAGCUGAGCAAGCAGAGAGCAUGAAAGAUGAGGGAAACGAGUUUUUCAAAGAGAAGAACUACGCAAAGGCGAUCCUGUCCUACACGGCGGGUUUGAAGAAGAAAAGUGGAGAUCAGGAGCUCGACACAGUUCUCCUCACCAACCGGGCAGCAGCACACUUCUACCUGGGUAACAUGCGAUCUGCAUUCAAUGAUGCUGCAGCUGCCAAGAAGAUCAAACCAGAUCAUCUUAAAGCCUUGAUCAGAGGUGUUCAGUGUUGUAUCAAGCUGCGAAACUUUGCAGAGGCGCUCCAGUGGUGUGAUGAAGGGCUUAAGGCCCAUCCCACAGACAAGAAGCUUCUGGAGCUGAGAGCAGAAGCAGAUAAACACAAGAGAGCAGCAGAAAGAGAUGCCAGGAAGGCCAAGGCCAAACAAAAGAAGUUGCACGGUGUGAAAGAAACUCUCCUGGCUGCUAUAAAGGAUCGUGGCAUUAAGCUCCUGCAGCCUGUGAAGCCUCGUCAGCGUGCUUCAGACAGUGAGGAUGAGGACGAAGGCUCCUCUGCAGCGAUAGCACAGCUCAGUGUGGACGGCCUCAGCUCUCAGGAGGUGACGGGGGCUCAGGUGUUCCUGGAUGAGAAGGGCUCCCUGCACUGGCCCGUUCUCUUCCUCUAUCCAGAACACCAGCAGAGUGACUUCAUCUCUGCCUUCUGUGAGAACAGCUGUUUUAUGGAUCACAUCGAGGUCAUGUUUGGAGAGGAACUUCCACCAUGGGAUGCGGACAGAAAAUACCACCCGCAAAACCUUCAGCUGUACUUUGAAGAUGGAAAGACGGAGACACUCUACCAAGUCAACCCACAGACGUCGCUUUUGAAAGUGCUGCAGCAUAAAAGGUUUUUUGUCAAAGGAGGAACUCCGAGCUUCAUCGUUCUGGUGAACGGCUCGUCUUUCACCAAACAGUUUUUAACAGGAAAGAAAACACAAGAACUGUAAAGACACAGGUCUCCCAAAAUCCUGAACUUUGGACACACCAGAGGACUAACUUUGUUCAAGGCAAGCAGACACCGGCAAGGCAAGCGUGUAUGUCUGUCUUUGCCGAGAGCAGUGCGUGCUGUUCUACAUUAAAUAUAAAUGUAAAUGGUUACAACGUGGACCAUCGUGGAUUUGUUGUUUUUUAUUGACAAAAAAGUAAUUCCAGAUUUAAAACAGAAGGAUUUUUUUUAUUGAAGUGCUUAAUCAGAGAAACUGAAAUGACCAGAAAUCAAUUAAAGAGA